UAUUGUUUGUUUUGACUCUACUAAGCCUUUUCCUAGCUCGUUUGUGAGAACCAGUUAUAACCUUCAGUCCUAGUUUUGAUUCACGUGCCCGUUUGCCUAACUGUGUAUGAUCAUUGCCUGCCUGUGACCACGAUUCCUGCCUUCUGCAAAGGUGAAAUAAACACCUACCCUGCUCUGCGCUUGUAUCUACACCUUUUUCUCCCUGAGUAUUCACUACAGAAUACCUCACCUAAAAUGGAAUGGAUUCAGCGGAGCUACAACAGUGCCUAACCCAACAAGAGGAGCGUAAACUGCCAUCCUCUCCACCAGCCUAUCCCUACUCCUCCCAUGACAAGUAUCGUAACCCAACAAGAGGAGCGUAUGGAGGGAAUCUGCCAUCCUCUCCACCAGCCUAUCCCUACUCCAAUGACAGGCAAAGCCCUGGAUUGGGCCUUCUUCAUACGGACUGCCAAAAGCACAACUCUGCUCCAAGACCCAUUUCCACACCCUCUUCAAAGAGGUAUUCGAUCCCUCUCCUUCCGGUCGUCCUAUAGGAGACCUCCUCAUAGAACUUCAACAAAGAGGCUGCAGGGAGUGGAUGGUCUGAGGCUGUUUUACUUACCGUCUACCGAAGAGGGCUCAACACGGAACUUCAGGCAGCGCUGGCCUGUAGAGGUGACCUUCAGGAUUUAAAUACAUUCAUAUCUCCAUCGACCACCUCAUCGCCGACUGCCGAAGAACUCUGCCACCCAGGAACCCGACACCUUCUCUUUCCAUGAUUCCAUCAUCUGAGCCCAUGCAGUUGGGCCAUGAUAAACUUUCCCUGAAUGACGUCACGGUCCAACCAUGUCCCCCAUCCUCUGAUCCCAGUGGGCCGCCCCAAAAUCUAUACAAAACUCGACCUGCCAGGUUCAUAUAACCUUGUCCGUGGAAUUCAUGAAGGCAACGAAUGGAAGACUGCCUUCAUCACCGCACUACAAAUACCUGGUCAUACACUACGGCCUUACUAAUGCCCCCGCCGUCUUCCAAUCCUUUAUGAACAAGGUUUUCCAGGGUAUGAUCAACCGCUUUCUCAUCGUCUACAUUGAUGACAUCCUGAUUUAAUCCCUGAAGGAACACAUGUGCAAAAGGUUCUUCAAUGGCUCCUUGACCAUGUUUUGUGUUCUUGAACGUAGCCUGUCUUUCAUUUUUGUUCAUUGAUUUCACCUGUUACUCACCUGGUCUCAUCAGCUCCUUAAGUUCAGUUCAUUCUGUUUGUACCUUCGUGAAGUAUUGUUUGUUUUGCUUCUACUAAGCCUUUUUUCUUGCUCAUUUGUGAGAACCAGUUACAGCCUUCAGUCCCAGUUGAUUCACCUACCUGUGUAUGACCAUUGCCUACCUGUGACCACGAUUCAUGCCUUCUGCAGAGGCGAAAUAAACACCUGCAUUGCUAUGCGGGUGAAUCUA
Oncorhynchus kisutch (coho salmon) is the source of this 1425-nucleotide long non-coding RNA. RefSeq lists it as uncharacterized. The transcript is spliced from 2 exons. NCBI's taxonomy places the organism in Eukaryota, Metazoa, Chordata, Actinopteri, Salmoniformes, Salmonidae. The record is from RefSeq and is a predicted model, not a curated record.